GUGCUUGCUUCGGCAGCACAUAUACUAAAAUUGGAACGAUACAGAGAAGAUUAGCAUGGCCCCUGCGCAAGGAUAACACGAAACUUGAAUUGAUUGCUCUCUCAU
Small nuclear RNA from Vulpes vulpes (red fox), 105 nucleotides. The record is from Ensembl. NCBI's taxonomy places the organism in Eukaryota, Metazoa, Chordata, Mammalia, Carnivora, Canidae.